This is a long non-coding RNA of Coregonus clupeaformis (lake whitefish), 351 nucleotides long. RefSeq lists it as uncharacterized. The record is from RefSeq and is a predicted model, not a curated record. The transcript has 3 exons. Lineage: Eukaryota; Metazoa; Chordata; Actinopteri; Salmoniformes; Salmonidae.
UUCAAAUAGUGUCUUUAGUUGUCGUUGUUGUGUUGUAAUUGUUACCCAGAUGUACUGUAUUGUGCAGUACUUCCUGUUCACUGUGUAGCCUUUCAUCUCUGCAUGGUUCUUUCUCUGGUCUCUGCAGUGGAGGACUAUUUAUCACCAGGUCUGCCUGCUGGUGCCAUUGCUGGUAUUGUGAUUGGAGUAUUGCUGGUUGUAGGAAGGGCAGUUGGUGUUGCAGUGUUCUUCAUCAGGAAAAAUGGAACCAAUGCUGAGCCAAUGCAUCAAGGAGGCUCUCAACAACCAGUAUAUGAGGACCUAUCACCUGUAUAUGAGAACACAAGACAAAAUCAAUCUCCACCUCUACCC